RNAcentral lists this small RNA (133 nucleotides) under Salmonella enterica subsp. enterica serovar Virchow. Its description in RNAcentral is "partial RtT sRNA". It matches the Rfam family "RtT RNA", at positions 33 to 130 of the family's 130-position model. Rfam says of the family: This family represents a bacterial cis-regulatory element known as RtT RNA. The exact function of RtT is unknown although it is thought that it may be involved in changing the cellular response in relation to amino acid starvation. Lineage: Bacteria; Pseudomonadati; Pseudomonadota; Gammaproteobacteria; Enterobacterales; Enterobacteriaceae. RNAcentral also lists the same sequence under 2 other names. The record is from RNAcentral.
UGGUCGCAGGUUCGAAUCCUGCACGACCCACCAAUAUACAAGGUGGUAACUGGUAGAGAACGUGAAGGUUAACGUUGCUUUAGCAACGGCCCGAAGGGCGAGGCGAAGCCGAGUCAUCCUGCACGACCCACCA